UUGGGGAAUUUUGGACAAUGGGCGCAAGCCUGAUCCAGCAAUGCCGCGUGCAGGAAGAAGGCCUUCGGGUUGUAAACUGCUUUUGUACGGAACGAAACGGUCCGGGUUAAUACCCUGGGCUAAUGACGGUACCGUAAGAAUAAGCACCGGCUAACUACGGGCCAGCAGCCGCGGUAAUACGUAGGGUGCAAGCGUUAAUCGGAAUUACUGGGCGUAAAGCGUGCGCAGGCGGUUUUGUAAGACAGGCGUGAAAUCCCCGGGCACAACCUGGGAAUUGCGCUUGUGACUGCAAGGCUGGAGUGCGGCAGAGGGGGAUGGAAUUCCGCGUGUAGCAGUGAAAUGCGUAGAUAUGCGGAGGAACACCGAUGGCGAAGGCAAUCCCCUGGGCCUGCACUGACGCUCAUGCACGAAAGCGUGGGGAGCAAACAGGAUUAGAAACCCUGGUAGUCC
RNAcentral lists this ribosomal RNA (450 nucleotides) under uncultured bacterium. RNAcentral describes it as "partial 16S ribosomal RNA". It matches the Rfam family "Bacterial small subunit ribosomal RNA", at positions 354 to 796 of the family's 1533-position model. The record is from RNAcentral.